GGGGCUGACUGGUUUUGACAGCAGGACGGUUGAUUUGUAAGCAUGUCGGGCGUUGUGAAUCUGGCCCGUCAAACCAAUUCUCAAAGCCAUAACUGGCAACACUUCUAACUACGCAAUGGCUGCUUAAUCUGGAAGAUUAAGCCGUCUGCUGUUCCCCGGGAAGCCCUGCCUUUCGGCGUCCCGACCGGAGCAUCGCAAAUGAGGGGCUGGCUGGUGUGAUUUCUCUAAGCACCGGUAAGAAAACAGAGGAUACGGCCUUGGUAGGUUGGACACUGGCCAGCCAUCGCCCGACAAAUAACCAGCGCAUAAACAUGUAGAAAGCAGGUUGGCUGCCUGUUUGGACGCGGGUUCGACUCCCGCCAGCUCCACAA
RNAcentral lists this transfer-messenger RNA (371 nucleotides) under Bacteroidales. RNAcentral describes it as "GWE2-42-24 sp001768515 Standard tmRNA". It matches the Rfam family "transfer-messenger RNA". From Rfam's summary of the family: Bacterial tmRNA, also known as 10Sa RNA or SsrA, is named for its dual tRNA and mRNA-like properties. Its role is to liberate the mRNA from a stalled ribosome. Lineage: Bacteria; Pseudomonadati; Bacteroidota; Bacteroidia. RNAcentral also lists the same sequence under 4 other names. The record is from RNAcentral.